Molecule: long non-coding RNA, 2854 nt
Organism: Rhipicephalus microplus (southern cattle tick)
Lineage: Eukaryota; Metazoa; Arthropoda; Arachnida; Ixodida; Ixodidae
Source: RefSeq, a predicted model, not a curated record
UUUCCAAAAGUUCCCACGCAGCGGCACGUUGUUUCGCGUGGGGUUAGAUUCUGCGCUGUACGCAGUUGCUCCAACCGCGCAAGACGCAAGCAUGACGCAAGCUCAAUGUCCAGAGGUUUCAGCAAAAGUGAAACUAGGACAGUGUGCGAAGUCAACGGGGCUGUCGUCAAAGCGUGGAAUUCAUCUUCUUGUUCCAUUUUGACAACCUGUGCACUGCUGCAGCCUCAAGGAGGUUCUGCUUCUUCGCUCCAUCCUUUCUAUCAGGGGUUGUGCUAGCGGGAUGCACGGGUAGGUCAGUUUCGUAGCGGCAUGACGUUAACUUUGAGCAAUUGCAGCUGGGAAUUGUUAUGCUUGAUGUUGUGGUGUCAUGUUUCAUUCCAUGAGUAUGGUACAUGAAAAGCACGACAGCAUCAUCUUGCUGAGUAAAGUACGCUUUAGAUUUGAUGCGUAAAUGUGAAGCUUAGCAUGUAGCUCUGAUUUCAGAAAAUAGUGCUCAUAAAAGGUGAAAUGUGAGUGCACAGGUGACAAAAAAAGUUCUCAUUCUGUUGAUAGUAAAUAGCAGGCUAUUUGUGUUCAGAGUCGUAAAUACUCUGAACACAAAUAGCCACCGGAAGAUCGUGAAUUAGUCUUAAAAACAUGCUUAGCUUAGAAUUGAAAUUCACUCCUUCAAUGCAAUCAUGUGGUAGCAAGGCCUGCUUUCAUUCUUAUAUUGUUCACCUGUUGCUAAUAUCUUAUUUUUCUUUCUCUCCUUAGGUUCAUGUCGCCAAAUAUCAGAGGACCCCGAGGCUACUUAGGUUUAUUACGUCACAUCAUGAACUCUUGCCUUUAACUUUUUUGAAUAUUUCAUCUUGCUAUUUAUUUAUGGUCAUAUUUUAUCAUGUUGAAGCAGUUCAGCCGGUACUACUUUUCUUUCACACAAUUUGAUUUGAUUUCUUUUUUUUUUUUGUGAUGCUCAUGUAUUUGUGAUCUCUCGUGUCUAGCGCAGUCACUGUCUGGAACAUGAUUUUAAUUAUUUUGUUGUUUGGGUAUUCAAAAGAGUGGAGUUGAUUGUUAUUAAGUGUUGAAGUAUUGCAGGCAAUAUUUAGGAUUAGCACUGGAGCAUGACUGCAGAUAUUUCUGUAGAGUUGUCCUUGAUUGCAGUGGUUAUGAUUGAAAUGUAUUUCUUACUAUGUUGAGCCCUUCGGAGUAUGCAUCCCCUUACUCUUGGAACCUUAUCGGUGAGGGCAUAUGUGCAUACCUUGUUCUGCAUUGUCCUAUUCAGAAUAGCAUGCAUUCAUGAAGAAUAUUAAGACAAUGAGGCAACUGUACAGAAUAGGAAAUUGUUUUUGUUAUGUAAGUAGCAUUGUGCAUCACGAACUUGGUCAUCUAACAAUACCAUAUAUGUGGGUUUUGCGAGAAAAUGUGAAGUGUUGACCUCUGGGCUUUCUUCCUGCAUAUGCCAUGGAGGCAUUUACAUGACAGUGACAGAACUUGUGUUUCAGUGUUAUUUAUUUUUAAUAAUUUUGACAUAUUAUUAUCAAUAGAUGCAGUGGCUACACUUCAAUUAGGGCCAAAUACAAAAGCACUCACCUACUUGUGUUUAUGUACACAUUAGGAAAAUCCUAGGUUUCAUCAAGGUAAUAGAAUCUUUUUUUUUUUUUUAAUGUCAGCCCUUAAGCAUAAAAGAAAUUUCUGCACUACUGCCUGAUCGCGGUGCUGCACCCUAGAACAUUCAACUUAAAUUCAUUUUCUGUUGAGAAACGAAAAGCAAUGCUUGAGUAACCUGUCUUGCAACCUUUUUCAUGCGCAGCUUCAGAACCUUUUCUCCAUCUAGAGACUACGGACACUGAGAAGCCGGGUUGGGGACGGUAUUACCGUUGCAUCAUCUGCAGCUUCGAAACUGACAAUGCCAUCAGUAUUAAGCGACACUUCAGGAUUCAUAUGGUCGAGCGAUCAUUCAAAUGCCGUUUUGUUCUCAGAUCUUUGGACUUAGUUGUAUGCUGAGUGUAUCGGGGAACAAAAGGGUUUAAUGGACAUCAUAGUCGAAAUCAAGAAUAAUAGAUGGUCAUGGGCAAUACUGCUAAUGAGUUCUGGAGAAUCUCGCAAGGUGGUGCAAGGGCUGUGAAAGGGAAAGAGGACAACCACUUAUUUGUAGCACGAAGCCACAAUGAAAUCCAUACGGAUUUAUCAGAAGAACAUGCUUUUUAGUUGCAGAAAAAUUCAUCCUCAGACCAGGACAAAUUUUUUGGCAACGAAAAAUUUGUCCUAGUCCUUAACCCUAAUGGCAGUUAGGCACAUUGGUGUCUCUUGUAGCCAUUUGUAUCUUACAUCAGUGUCUCUUGUAAAGCCAUUCGGCUGUAUCACCCUCAGCUUUCAACUUUAGUGUUGAAAAGAUAAUCUCUUGCUCUUUCUUAGUUGUCCUAAUCUAUAUGGUUGUAGCAUACUUUCCACUAUACUUUCAUGUGAGGAAUGCUUGUAAUUUAUCACAUACAGCCUGCACAUUUAUGUGCAUGGUUAUACAGUACAUGGACUGAAGGAUGUUAAGCUAUAUUAGGAUAUUGCAGUGAGAGAUUGAGCAAAUACAUUAGCUUAUUAAGGGUAACAGUGUGACACAUGCUCGUAUAUAAACGUAGUCAUCUUGAAUAGGCUUGUACUAAUAUUCUAAUGAAUAUUACUGUAUUCAAACCCACUACGAUUCGAAUUGAAAUUAUUCAAAAUUUCUAAGUAUUCUAUAUCAACGCACAGAUACAUAAAUGUCUGCCGGUGAUCCCCUGUAAAAGUGGCUUCACUGCAUUUAAGAGUGCUAAGUCGUAAAAACACUUACUUAUAAAAAUUCAGAAGCAGCUUUCUUUUCAAAUAAAAAGCAACGCUUCAU